RNAcentral lists this ribosomal RNA (380 nucleotides) under uncultured eukaryote. Its description in RNAcentral is "partial 18S ribosomal RNA". It matches the Rfam family "Eukaryotic small subunit ribosomal RNA", at positions 592 to 976 of the family's 1831-position model. The record is from RNAcentral.
CAAUAGCGUAUAUUAAAGUUGUUGCAGUUAAAAAGCUCGUAGUUGGAUCUGUGGUGUGCGGUGGGCUCCGGGCACUUGUUGUCUGAGUAGCUCGCCGCUGCCAUCCUUGGGUGGAACCUGUGUGGCAUUAGGUUGUCGUGCAGGGGAUGCCCAUCGUUUACUGUGAAAAAAUUAGAGUGUUCAAAGCAGGCUUAUGCCGUUGAAUAUAUUAGCAUGGAAUAAUGAGAUAGGACUUUUUCGCUAUUUUGUUGGUUUGCGCGAAGAGGUAAUGAUUAAUAGGGACAGUUGGGGGUAUUCGUAUUCCAUUGUCAGAGGUGAAAUUCUUGGAUUUUUGGAAGACGAACUACUGCGAAAGCAUUUACCAAGGAUGUUUUCAUUAA